This 301-nucleotide ribosomal RNA is filed under the name uncultured bacterium. Its description in RNAcentral is "partial 16S ribosomal RNA". It matches the Rfam family "Bacterial small subunit ribosomal RNA", at positions 509 to 808 of the family's 1533-position model. The record is from RNAcentral.
CAGUCGCCACGGUAAUACAGAGGGUGCGAGCGUUAAUCGGAUUUACUGGGCGUAAAGCGUGCGUAGGCGGCUUUUUAAGUCGGAUGUGAAAUCCCUGAGCUUAACUUAGGAAUUGCAUUCGAUACUGGGAAGCUAGAGUAUGGGAGAGGAUGGUAGAAUUCCAGGUGUAGCGGUGAAAUGCGUAGAGAUCUGGAGGAAUACCGAUGGCGAAGGCAGCCAUCUGGCCUAAUACUGACGCUGAGGUACGAAAGCAUGGGGAGCAAACAGGAUUAGAUACCCGAGUAGUCCCUGUCUCUAUACA